UACGUAGGGUGCAAGCGUUGUCCGGAAUUAUUGGGCGUAAAGAGCUCGUAGGUGGCCUGUCGCGUCGGCUGUGAAAACUCGGGGCUCAACUCCGAGCUUGCAGUCGAUACGGGCAGGCUAGAGUUCGGCAGGGGAGACUGGAAUUCUCGGUGUAGCGGUGAAAUGCGUAGAUAUCGAGAGGAACACCUGCGGCGAAGGCGGGUUGCUGGGCCGACACUGACGCUGAUGCGCGAAAGCCAGGGGAGCGAACGGG
Molecule: ribosomal RNA, 253 nt
Filed under: uncultured bacterium
Lineage: Bacteria
Description: partial 16S ribosomal RNA
Rfam family: Bacterial small subunit ribosomal RNA
Source: RNAcentral